UAUUCAGUCUUCCUCCUCCAUUUACUUCACAGUGGCUGGAGUUAAUUUUGCUCCUAUAUCUCAGACCAGUCUGUCUUCCCCACUGGAAGACGAUUACCUCACAAAUCCUUGUUUGUCUACUCCUGACCUUACCCCAUGGAGCACCAAUGCUUUUUGAGCACCCACCCACCCAGGCCCUUGGACAGUGGGCUCACUACUGAUGUGCUCUUGCGUGCCCUUAGAAAGAGUGAAUUGGAAUUAUCAAGUCUUAGUCCAUUAACCUGUGGGCCAUGGAGCAGGACUGGAAAGCCUAUUCUUCCUUCUAUACCAAGUAAUUGAGGUAAGGUGUUCAUUGCACAUUUAGGAUUUUUCAGAUCAUUGCAGUAUAAUGUGAAUCUUUAUGCUCUUAAAAUUCAGGGGCUAAAAACCCAUGACUCCUAAACCUCCUGUUAGCCUGAAAUCCUUUUGGUUUCAAACACUCAGAGUGGCAGAAGAGCUUCAGAAACUGCAUUUGGUGCUGAGUAUCUGUGGCCACAUGGCUUUGAUCUGGGUAGAACAGUUGCGAGGGGCCGUGGUUUUUGCUUAAGAUUUCCAGCACGUCACCGUUAAUCAAAUGUUCUGACAAGGCUCUACGAGGAGGCUGAUAACAUGCCCUGCUUUCUAAAAUGUACAUCUGGCACACUCCUGUCACGGCCCAAGAUGCAGAGAUGUUCAUCGCUGGCUUUUCUAGUGGUACUCUAUGGAAAGUCCUUGGACAUCACCGAUAACAAUGACAACAUAACCUCAAAGAUAAGUGACAAGUUAG
Molecule: long non-coding RNA, 784 nt
Filed under: Anser brachyrhynchus (Pink-footed goose)
Lineage: Eukaryota; Metazoa; Chordata; Aves; Anseriformes; Anatidae
Description: lncRNA (ENSABRG00000002773.1)
Source: RNAcentral